RNAcentral lists this ribosomal RNA (253 nucleotides) under uncultured bacterium. RNAcentral's name for it is "partial 16S ribosomal RNA". It matches the Rfam family "Bacterial small subunit ribosomal RNA", at positions 524 to 776 of the family's 1533-position model. The record is from RNAcentral.
UACGAAGGGGGCUAGCGUUGCUCGGAAUCACUGGGCGUAAAGCGCACGUAGGCGGAUUGCUAAGUCAGGGGUGAAAUCCUGGAGCUCAACUCCGGAACUGCCCUUGAUACUGGCGGUCUCGAGUCCGGGAGAGGUGAGUGGAACUGCGAGUGUAGAGGUGAAAUUCGUAGAUAUUCGCAAGAACACCAGUGGCGAAGGCGGCUCACUGGCCCGGUACUGACGCUGAGGUGCGAAAGCGUGGGGAGCAAACAGG